This 471-nucleotide unclassified non-coding RNA is filed under the name Hevea brasiliensis (rubber tree). The record is from RNAcentral. Lineage: Eukaryota; Viridiplantae; Streptophyta; Magnoliopsida; Malpighiales; Euphorbiaceae.
AAGCUGAGCAAGGGUGGUUUUACCCAUCCCUCCCAUGCCAACUAUAGGAAUCACACCUAGAUCAUUGCCAUUUGGAUCAUCCGAUAGCACCCUAAGCAUUAUGGCUUCCUUAUCAUCUUCCCUACCAUAAAUACCAGAUUCAUCUACAAGAGAAGUUGUUGCCGUUUUCAGAGACCAUGGUUUUCCUUGAACACCCUCUUUCAAAUUAAGGGUAUCCUUUUGUUUCACUAAAUACUCAAGCCUGUCAAGGAUCUCUUCUAACUUGGGGUUCAUUCCCUUUUUAAAAGAAUUACUUGAAGGGAAGAAAUUCCGGACCUUUUGUUUUGGAGAUGUAGGUUCCAACUUUGGUUGCAGAGCUUCAUAACUAAUCUCAUCCAAAAGGUCAUCAGCUUCAUAAACAGCAUCUUUAAGCUUGUCAAGCCACUCUUUCACAGCUGGCUUAGAAAUCUGCUUCUCUUCUGCAUCAUCAAG